ACUCCUACGGGAGGCAGCAGUGGGAAUUUGGAUCAAUGGCGCAAGCCUGAUCCAGCCAUGCCGCGUGUCUGAAGAAGGCCUUCGGGUUGUAAAGGACUUUUGUCAGGGAAGAAAAGGCUGUUGCUAAUAUCGACAGCUGAUGACGGUACCUGAAGAAUAAGCACCGGCUAACUACGUGCCAGCAGCCGCGGUAAUACGUAGGGUGCGAGCGUUAAUCGGAAUUACUGGGCGUAAAGCGAGCGCAGCGGUUACUUAA
RNAcentral lists this ribosomal RNA (256 nucleotides) under uncultured bacterium. RNAcentral's name for it is "partial 16S ribosomal RNA". It matches the Rfam family "Bacterial small subunit ribosomal RNA", at positions 335 to 586 of the family's 1533-position model. The record is from RNAcentral.